RNAcentral lists this transfer RNA (75 nucleotides) under Acetatifactor sp. Its description in RNAcentral is "tRNA-Cys". It matches the Rfam family "tRNA". From Rfam's summary of the family: Transfer RNA (tRNA) molecules are approximately 80 nucleotides in length. Their secondary structure includes four short double-helical elements and three loops (D, anti-codon, and T loops). Lineage: Bacteria; Bacillati; Bacillota; Clostridia; Lachnospirales; Lachnospiraceae. The record is from RNAcentral.
GGGGAUGUGGCGUAAAUGGUAAAGCGGUCGGGACAUGUUUCCCGGUGAUUGUGAGUUCGACCCUCACCAUCCCCA